Molecule: ribosomal RNA, 184 nt
Filed under: uncultured bacterium
Lineage: Bacteria
Description: partial 16S ribosomal RNA
Rfam family: Bacterial small subunit ribosomal RNA
Source: RNAcentral
UACAUGAAGCUGGAAUCGCUAGUAAUCGCGGAUCAGAAUGCCGCGGUGAAUACGUUCCCGGGUCUUGUACACACCGCCCGUCACACCAUGGGAGCCGGGAAUGCCCGAGGUCGGUGACCUAACCGAAAGGGGGGAGCCGCCGAAGGCAGGUCUGGUAACUGGGGUGAAGUCGUAACAAGGUAAC